GGGCCGUUAGCUCAGCCGGUAGAGCACUCGACUCUUAAUCGAGUGGUCGGGGGUUCGAAUCCCCUACGGCCCG
RNAcentral lists this transfer RNA (73 nucleotides) under Candidatus Woesearchaeota archaeon. RNAcentral describes it as "tRNA-Lys". It matches the Rfam family "tRNA". Rfam says of the family: Transfer RNA (tRNA) molecules are approximately 80 nucleotides in length. Their secondary structure includes four short double-helical elements and three loops (D, anti-codon, and T loops). Lineage: Archaea; Nanobdellati; Candidatus Woesearchaeota. RNAcentral also lists the same sequence under 1 other name. The record is from RNAcentral.